This 31850-nucleotide long non-coding RNA is filed under the name Eucalyptus grandis. Its description in RNAcentral is "long non-coding RNA (EGRA_LNC006628)". The record is from RNAcentral. Lineage: Eukaryota; Viridiplantae; Streptophyta; Magnoliopsida; Myrtales; Myrtaceae.
CCUGUUCUUGAUAUCUCUGUCAGCAAGAACGGGAGCAACAGAGUUCCCAUUUCCACCUCUCCAUUGAAGAAGCAGAAGAAGAAGAAGAAGGUCAUGUCAGAGACUCAGUGCUGUGAGAACCCUCCGACGCGGAGCACCAUGAGCGUCGGAAUCGGAUGUGUGGCAGAGAUCGGAGGCUUGAAAGCCUACAUCACCGGCCCCCCUGAUGCUAAGCUUUCCGUCCUCCUCGUCUCCGACGUUUUCGGUACAAUUCCCUUUCAUGGGUUCUCGCUCUAUCAAAAAAAUUUCUCUCGAUUUCCGAAUCAGCCUUUGCGUUUGUGGGUGUUCCAGUUCUAUCGUUAGAUAAAAAUCUUUUUUUUUUUUUUGGGGGGGGGUGGCGGGGAAGAGUAUUCCUCUUCCGGACUCGAUUGCUACAAGCAGAAUCUGGACUUCUUUUGGGUCUCGUAACUGUCUUGCCUUUGCAUAAAGUUUGUUAAUUUGUUGCGAGAAAACUUGAGCUAAGCAUGUGUUGCAGAAACCCACAUUUUUUGUUUUAAAUGUUCUCUGCUCUGGCCAGUCAAGCUGAUGCAUAUUCCAGUUUUAAUGGAGUCUGAUAUUAUAUUUCUCUGGCUUUAUUCUGAUGUAACUGAAUCCAUGUUUCUUUUUUUGCAGGUUAUGAAGCACCAAAGCUGAGGUAAGCUGUCGUCCAACCCCAUCCCACUGGCUGGAAUUAGAGAACAAACCCUCUCCAUAACUCCAAUUGGUCAGCUUAGUCUUGAGUCUCGUCCAUGUCAUGUGUGCUUGGCGUAACAUAUCUAUCUAGCUACAUUUACUGAAAGCAAUUUUUCUAUUGUCAGAUUUCAUUUCUGUAGUCUUUGAUUCUCAGGCAACGUUAUUAUUUCAAUUUGUUGUAGUUCUCUUUGAUGAGGAACGAACGCAUAUACACAUUCAUGGAUCACGUUGACUGAUAUGGCGCAAAUUGAUGGAAAGGUCGGACUGGAGCCAACUUUCUUGAUGACUGAGUUAACAACAUAUUUGUGAAUCUAAAUGGAUAUUGUGCUAAUGAACUACAUGUAGUAAUUCAAGUCUCAAAAUCUUCUUUUACUUUUAUUUCACAGAUGAAUUCCUUCAGAAAAGGUUUGCACAUAAAGUUUUCAUUGGAAUUAGGUUUUUGUGCAAGAAACUGCCCCAUUUAUUAACACUAACAGAUUCUUAGUAUACAAGCUCGAGCAAAGCAAGCAGAAUUAAUCACUACUUAUAAGUUUUAUCAUGAGCAACUCAACCGACUUCAUGAAGAAGUUAUUUCUUUAUUGUUAACGACCUCAUUGAAUAGAUUAUGUUAAUUUCUCCUUCACUCUGAUUAGUUGACAUCUCAACUCCUCUUGUAUUUAUUUUUUGCUGAUGCUUGAAGGGAAUUGGCUGGUUGUCUGCUCUGUCUCCCCUCAAGUUUUUGCUUAUUUGGUCUGAUCAUAAACUCUAAAUACGUAAGGCAUUUCUCAGAAUGUUCUUAAAGUAAAAGAUGCUGGCUUCUAGUGGCUUGUGUUCAAUCAAUCCUCACACAAUUUAAGCGAAGAAAUCCUCCAGCUUUUUCAAAACAAAAGAUAAUCGGUGCCAAACUCUCUGGGUAAUGUCUCUGCACGUUAGAUGAUAAUGAUAUCUGGGGUGCCGGUGUUUCAUGAAAUUGCGUCAUCUGAGAUGCCUUUACACGAGAUGUUAUGAUCCUUUUCCGAGUUCAGAGUUUGUCCUGAGAGUAUAAUUUUGUCAUCCUUCUUGUAUGAAGCUUUUAGCUUAACUUAUUAUAGAUGCCUCCUUUUGCUUAUGUGCAGUUUUCUGGAUUUUCUCAUUGAUAGAUCUGCGUCAUCACUGAAUUCUUUAUCAAAGACAGCAUUUUAAUCUGCAUUUAUUAGCUUUUCAAAUUUUGCAAGUGACGACAUAUUGAGUGUUAUUUUGCUGCAUAUAGCAAUGCUGAACAUGCCAAUGAUUCUUUACAUACUAUAUAAACUUAACCUUGUAUGCUUGUGAUUUCAAGGAAGCUUGCAGACAAGGUGGCCUCUUGUGGAUUCUAUGUGGUGGUUCCAGACUUCUUUUAUGGAGAUCCCUAUGUACCUGAUAAUCCUGAGAGGCCUAUUGCAGUGUGGAGACAAUCUCAUGGAACUGUACGCUUUAAUUUUCAGUUCAAGUCUCUAUCUGUUUAAGGGUCUUCCUAUACCUAAUGAAACUUAUGAGACAUUUAUGUUUUCCAUUGCGUGUUUUUCCUACUUAUAAAUUAGUGGUUUUCUUGGAUUUCAAUUUUCUCAAUUUACAUAUGGAUUCUACUUAUAUUCUUUCUUCUGUAAGAGAGCUAACCCUGAAAGUUCUGCUACAGAAGUAUUUUUGUCAUAUUACUUGCCAUUCUUGUAUAGGUAAAGGAUUUGAAGAUGCCAUAAGAGUUGUUUCUGCACUGAGAAGUGAAGGUGUAUCUGCCAUUGGAGCUGCAGGAUUUUGCUGGGGUGGUGAGUCUUCUUGUUGCCUUGUUCCACAAGUUUUAUCCUGAUGUGUUCCUCCAAAUAUUCUGGAUAAAACUCUUAACUUUGAUGUUUGAUUAUCAGCAAAGGUGGUUGUGGAACUAGGGAAGUCUGAUUACAUUCAAGCUGUGGUUCUGCUACACCCUUCACGAGUCACUGUGGAGGAUAUUAAGGGUGGGUAAAGCUAAGCAAAGAAGCAGAAUCCACAUUUUCAGCGAAUUUAGCCUAAAAUAGUCCAUGCAUUUGUCCUCUUGGGUGUUUUCUUGGAUGAAACAAAGAUGUCAUUGUCGUUAAACAAACUAGAUUGCCUGACAUGGGUGAUCUUAUCCUAUUGAUUUGCAUAUGGUAAUGACAGACGUAAUUGUUCGGUUGACUAGUUGAGAGCCCUCAUUUUGUGUCUGAAGAACUGAAGCUUUUAGAGAAGUAGGUAGUAGUUUACCUAAAAGCCGGAGAAUCUUGAGAUGGCAAAAUAACUUUCUGCCAUCAUUUUUACAAUAACUAACUUUCAGCAGUUAUCUUUUAAAAGGUCUUGAUUUUAUUACGUAAGUGAAUAUGGUUACAGACUUUGGUCUCAAAAGUUUGGCAGAGAAAUUGACAUUAUGUUUUGCUUUACAUUGACUAAGAAAACCAGCCAAUACUUCGUUGCGUGUAUAUUAAGUGGGAGCUUUCUUCACUCAAUGAUAGAAUGUACUGCUAGAGGCUCCAUGUCAUUGUCAUGGACAAUCUCACGUGAUAAAUUUAUAAUGAUGAUGCUUAUGGAUAUCAGAGAAUAUAAGCAAUUUCACAUGAUCACUUAGAAGUUAUGUAGGUGGUGAUCUAACGCUGUUAUUUUCAGAGGUCAAGGCUCCCAUAGCUGUAUUGGGCGCUGAGUACGACAAAUUGUCUCCACCAGAGCUUCUCAAGCAGUUUGAGGAAAUCUUAUCCGCUAAACCGGAGGUAAACAUCUCCAUCCCUGCUGUUAAUGCCCGUGUUUGCAUUCUAAGUACUAUACUUUAUGCUUUGAGAUCACUUCCUUGAACUCGUAUACUUUGAGUGCCCCUCAUGAAAUGGAGUUAAGCAGUAAGAGUACGCUCACGUGAAUUGGGAAAUUGCUCUCUAUGGAUCAUAAACGGACAUGAAUCUGAGGCUGCGAGAUCUGUUACCUUCUGCAGGUCGAUGGGUGCGUCAAGAUUUUUGCUGGGGUGGAGCAUGGUUGGACUGUGAGGUAUAAAGACGAAGACGCAGCAGAGGUGAAGUCCGCUGAAGAAGCCCAUAAGGACAUGCUGGACUGGUUCAAUAAGCACUUGAAGUGAAGAUGAACUUGGUCACCUUCUACUGUGUCUACAUAUCCAAGGAAGAGAAUGACAAAGCACGACCGUUCCUUGCAGUGGCGGCCUAUCUUCUGAUGGAGUUGAACACUGAUUAGGGAAUGUAUUCCUUAUGCAGAUGUAACUUAGCUUAGAAUAAACAGAGCCUGGCCUUUCGUGUCUUGAGAUAGAUGGAAGAGCUUUGUGAGUUCUUUGAGUUUGCGAAGGGGCAUUGCUCACUCUCUUGUACAUAGCAUGUAGUGCCUGGGUAAACUAAAACCUGUAUAUUUUCCUACCAUGUAGUAUCUGUGAGCAUAUAAAUUUAUAGGUUGUGGUAAUAUUUGUACAAUGUUGAUAAGCACGCAAAGAAUACUGACGUGCACAAAACUCCUUUGUUGGUCCAACCACAGUGCGAGGCUUCAAAGGAUCUAGAUUGAUCACUGAAGAAUUUAUAGGGCAAGAAGCGAUUUUUUUUUUAAUUUUGAUUUUUUUAAUAUUUGUAAAUGUUUUAAAUAAAUUUAGUUUUAAAUUUAAUUUAAUUAAUUUUUAUCACGUGAGUAUAAAAACAACGUCGUUUUUGUAUUGUUCAGUCACGUCACCAUAUAAAACGACGUCAUUUUGCACUUAUUUCGCCGGAAAAUUGCUACGUUAGUAUUUUAGCCAGAUUGGCACUUAAGUAAUUCAUUUUGCUUCGAUUUUAGUAUUUAAAUGUCAUUUUCCUAACUUUUAAUACUUAAGUAUCCCUCCGUUUAAGUUUUGGCACUUGGGUGUACUUUUGCCGCUUAUUAUUAUAGGUAAUGUAGUUCUGAUGGGAUCUUGGGAUUGGACCCCCAUGAGAGCCACUUGCCGGUUCGUAUCAUGUUUGCAACUUUGUGAUGAUCGUCCGCUUUAUUUUAAGUAGACAGAUAAGUAGUCCUGUGCAUUUCAUCAUCCAAUCCACAUCCAACUAGCGAGGUGGCAUGUUAAAAUUGUUUCGUUCAACUUAUGAGCUUAUAACUAGGUCGGGAACAUCAAUGGCAGUCGGAACCAAUUGCACACAAAAGAAAUGGUACAGUAUGUACCUAACCUGGUUAGACUUGGUUGUGGGAAAGGACAACCAGACAUCAAACGCGUUCAUCAUUUCUCGGAGAAAAGGAACAAAUCCUUAAUAAGAAAUUGGAUGAUGGCUUCUGAAAUCAUUCCUUUUUUCCUGUCAGACUUUCAGAUUCAUUCCAUUUAAGUGCCUUGCGCAAUUUAAUUGAAUUGUAUUGGUUGUCUGCAGUAAGUUCCAAUCAAACGAGCUUCCUCUGUGAGUUCAGAGUAAGGUGAAAACUAAAGAGAGAGAUUACUAGACUGCUUAUGCAACUGCAACGUCUCUACACACGUGCGCUUCCCCGGUUAAUCCAGAGCAUGCUAACCUGGAAAGUCCAGAAGAAAGAAGAGCACAACCUGGGAAAUAACCAAAAGAAGAAAAAGUACAAGCAGAUCCUCAAAGAAGAGAAAUUACAAGCAAAUCCUCUCUGACAAAGCGAUCUCAUUCUUGGGAAAACUAUAUGCAAACAGGGCAAGGCGAGUUGUCUCUAUCCUCUCACUCAUAGGCGCGAAUGGGGAUCUUGACAUUGCCUCUUGUAUUUGUGAAGUGGGCAAGGGCCGUUGUGGUUGGCCAGCCUAUUGCACCCAUCAACGACUAGAUGACAAUGAUCAUAUGCCGCCGAAGAUAGAAAAGGAAAACUCACUAAUGAUUUGCAGAAUCUAAAUUCCAUCUUCCUCAACUUCUUCAACUUCAAGAGAGGAGGCAACCUUACUAGGGAAUUGCACUGUUCAAUCAUUAAACUUUGCAGCGCUUCCAGUUCGAUGAGACCUUGGAUCUCAACUAGCCUCAGGCAAUUCAACAAGCACAAUGCUCUGAGCUUCUUCAAGCCUGACAGACAGGAUAAUCGCACCAGCAAUUCGCAGUUCGACACAGUUAGUUUCAUCAGAUUCUCCAGUUGUCCAAACUGAUUGAGUGGAAUAUUUGUCAGCCACAAUUUGCAUAGCUCCAAACUCGACAAAUUUUUUAAGUCAGGCCGAUGAAUUGAAGUUUAUAAGCUUCAUCGUGGACAGCGUGGGAGGAAGUGGCUGAGUGAGUGAUUGCAGGUCCAAACAAGACAGAACUAGUUGCUCCAGGCCAGGAAGGGAAGCUAACUCAGUCGGCGGUGCAAUGAUGCUUUUAUGAACCAGUUUCAGUUUCUCCAGUCUUGACAACAUCCCAACCCACUCUAGGUUUGGAGUUUGGAUAGAAUAGGCAUCCCAUGGCUUGGAAAGAGAUUCCUCAGAGUAGUCGGAUACAAUUAAAACGACUAAAUUAGUCAGGUUGGAGAGGUUUGGGACUGUCUUUAGUUUACGAGACUCAACAUACAGGUUAAUCAAACUGGUGGGAAGCUCUGGGAUUCGCUCAAGCUCAUGGCAACCUUCCAAAUGAAGUUCCUGGAGAUGAGAAAGCCGGUUGAUUGUUGUUGGCACAGAUCUAAUGCGAGUGUGAGAAAAGUUGAGGAUUUUCAGAAAGGAUAGACGCCCAAUUCCUCUAGGAAUAUCUCCCUCCAAAUUCAAGCAUUUUUUGGCAUGAAAUUCUUCAAGCUUCUCCACCGUGCCUAUAGUCAUUGGGAUCUUCGUUAUCUCACUGUGAUCUACCCUUAUCACUUUCAACUUCCUCAGGUCUCCAAUCGAAUCAGGUAAUUCUGUUACUUUUGUAUAAGACAGAUCCAACUCAAGAAGUGAUUCCAAUCCCCCAAUUGAGUCUGGAAGCUCUCUUAGCUCAUAACAUCUGGACAAACACAAGCUUUCAAGAUCCUUUAGCCCUCCGAUUGAUUGCAGAAGUUUGCUAAUUCCAACACUUUCCAUCACUAGCCUUUUCAAAGACUGUAGAUUAUCAAUCGAGUGGGGAAGAAACGGACCAACAGGACCAAGUAUCGUCCCUCUCACAGUCAGCUCUUUCAAAGCCUUUAGACAACCAGCUUCUUUGGGCAACUUUCUCAGAGAUUUGCAAGCAUCAAUUUCCAAGUAAUUCAGGUGCACUAGCUUCCCAAUCGAUUCAUCAAUUUCAACCAAGCUUUGACAAUUUCGUAUGAUCAAUCUUUUCAAUGUUGAUACAGCAGAGAGGUCGGGCAAUCUAGUUAUACGACUGCAUUCUCCAAGUUCCAGAACUUCCAACUUAGAUGAUUUCUGUUGGUCGCCAGAAUAUCAGAAAGGGAAUGAGCAAUUGGAGGCAUGUACGCUAAAACAAUAAGAACAGAAAUAAAUGUGAAACUGUCCAUACCGUGAUUUGGCGCCAUCCGGGCCAAUCAUCUCUAAGUUCACCGUUAGUAAGCUUGAGAACGACUAGAUUGCUUGGAGACAAAUUGGAAGCAUCAAAGUCUGCAGGACAAUGAUCCCAGGAUAGCCAUCUCAAAUUUCUGAAAACAUUUUUAUAAUCUCCAGUGAAGUUUACCCCUCCAACAUGAAGCGCCCUUAGCUUUGGCAGAUCAGCAAAUGCUUGAUUUGUAAGUCUCUGAACCUCAGGGAAUUGUAACGUGAGUAAUUCGACAUUGCUCUUUCGCUGGCAAUCACCCUAGCAAAGAUAGCAAGCAUCAGUGAACUGGAAGAUCAAACAGAGAUACUUGUGCACACAGAGGGCAGUGAAGUCUUAUAAAACCAGAAUCCCGUCCACUUUUUGCCUAGGAAAUUGCAGUUUUACUUGUAUCAAUAAAUUUACCUGUUCGUGAAGUAUACUUAAGGCAUCCUUGUGAUCGCACACCCUACUCCGAUUUCUUGGAUUUGCAAUAUCCUCCUGUCGAACAAUUUCCCUCCCAAAAUCUUUGAGCUGGUCAUGCAUCCAUAAUAUAUUGUCCUCUUUUAUCUUUAUUAGAGACAUAAGCGAAAGAAUAUUAAUUCCGCUUUCAGGAUAAAAAUCACAAGCUUCCCACAUAUGUUUUGCGGUUACGUCAUCUACAUCCGAGAAAAAGCAUGCAAUGUCUAACAAAAUCUGCUUCUCCUCAAAGUUUAAUGCCUCAUAACUUAUCCUUAUAUUGUCUCGGACUCCCCAAUCAGGUCCUUUUGUUAUCCGCUUCAAUGUUUCGACCCAAAUCUCGUGGCUUUUGCCACGGAGGAGAGAACCUAAAGUUUCAAGAGAUAAAGGAAUUCCUCCGGUAGAGGCUACUAUUUCACCGGAAAGAGUCUCCAGAUCAUCUGGAGGUAGGGUUUCUCCAAAAGCAUGUUUGCUGAAAAGUUGAAAAGCAUGGUAGGGAUUCAUCUCCGUCAUCUCAUAGGCAUAAUAUUCUUUAAGAGGAAAUGGGUGUUGGAGAAAUCUUCGUGAAGAGUUUUGAAGUUGACAAAACGUUUCCAUCAGUCUAAUCUGAAGGUCUGCAGACUCUGUUAGUUAAAGUCUGAAGACUUCCGGACAGCCAGACUCAAGACUCAAAGUCUAUCCUCAUUGACAGUCUCUAAUCCGUUGAAGAAAGGUUAUCCAGAACUGGAUGUUUUGUUCAGGAUUUAACCUUAUCAUCUGGAGAAGAUCUCGUGGUUGGAGAAGACAUAUAAGAAUCCUUUGAUUGAUCAAGAUUGAUUCAAUGACUGAAGAUUCGAUGAUUAUCUAAAUCUUAUGGGAAGGUUCUACUUAUGGAAACCGAGAUCCUGAUUGUAUGGGCGAACAGGAUUGAUGGGCUAUCAACACGUUCCUUUAAUAGCUCGAACAAUCUUCCUAAUUGAUUCCGUCCAACGGGUAGAUUGGAGGAAUUCCUUUGGUAAGUGCCAACGGGUAUGAUGGCAUAAAGGAGUAUAUAAGGAAGACGUUCUUAGUUGUUCAAGGAGUGCGCGAUAGAAGAAUUCCAAAGUCUGAAGCUCCUAUUUGUUUAGAUAAAUCCUUUGAGCGAAUACUUGUAUACAAAAGAGAGUCUAUAUUUGUGAGAGACCUUGAGGAGGUGUGGUAAAACAUCUACACUGUGGAAUCAAGGCAAAGCUGUGCUGUAACUUCUCUUUUGAUCAUAGUGAAAUCCAGCCGGUGGGCUGUCAGUGCGGAAGAGUGGACGUAGGCUUGGAAUAAGCCGAACCACUAUAAAUCCCGUGUUCAAUUUUCUCUUCCUCACUCUCUCUACCUCAAUCGUAUUUCAUUUUGUUAAUUAAGAGAGAAUUUACUUUCUAUCAUAUGUUAAGAAUCGCUUCCGUAUAUCGAUAAAGUGUUUAGGCACCUAUUCACCCCCCUCUAGGUACUCAUACUAGCAAUAUCAAUUGGUAUCAGAGCUCGUGUAUUCACUUUGUUUGAAGUAUUUUACUUCAGAGUUAAAGAUCCAUGGCUAGUAUGCUAGCACCAGGGCUGAUGGAAGGGCAAAGCAAUACCAGACCACCCUACUUUGAUGGAAAGGAUUACAACAUCUGGAAGAACAAGAUGAAAGCUUUCCUACGAUCAAAGGAUCCUCUGGAAUGGGAUGUUGUAGAAAAAGGAAUUACUCCUACCACUGCAUCAGUCUCUGAAAGAGGAAAAGAAACUGAAGAAACCAGCGGAAUGUCUCAGGAAGAAAUAAUCAAGAGACAAAUACUCGAUGCAAAAGCAAUUUACUCCUUAUAUUGUGCUUUAUCACCAACUGAAUAUAAUAGAAUAUCUUCUUGUGGUACAGCAAAAGAAGUUUGGGACAGAUUGCAUAUCACCUAUGAAGGAACAGAUCGAGUGAAGGAAACAAGAAUCAACAUUCUUCUCGGUCAAUACGAAGCCUUCAGAAUGAAACCAGGAGAAUCAAUAUCUGACAUGUUUAGUCGUUUUACAGAUAUUGUAAAUGGUCUUGAAAAUCAAGGUCAACCAACUUCUGAUCCCAUGAAGGUAAACAAGCUACUGCGUGGACUCUCCAGGGAUUGGAAUCACAUAAAGACUUCGAUAAGAGAGACGCAGAGAAUCAUGCCACUAUCUGUCGACGAGCUGAUUGGAACUCUUCAGUCCUAUGAAGUGGAAAGGAUCAAUGAAGAUGAAGAUCCAAAAGGUAAGAAAUCCAUUGCAUUAAAAUCAAAUGAUGAUUCUGAUGAUACAGAUUCUGAAGAUGAUAUGGACGAUGAGGAGCUUGCUCUCAUGAUAAGAAGAUUCAGAAAACUAAAUAGAAAAGGAAGAAGGUUCAACUCAAAGAAACAAAGCUUUCAAAGACAGCAGACCAAGUCUGUUGAUGAUGAGGAACCAAAUAAAGAUGUAGUCUGCUUUGAAUGCAAGAAAAAGGGACACAUCAGACCCAACUGUCCUCUUCUGAAGAAGAAGAGAGGAAAAGCUGAAAAAUUUCGAAAAGCUCUCAAAGCCGAAAACUGGAGUGAUACUGAGUGUGAAGAAAGUGAUAAUGAAUAUGCCAAUCUAUGUCUGAUGGCACAAUCAGACUCAGACUCUGGAUUAGACUCAGGAUCAGACUCAGACAGUGAAUUUGAGGCAAGUGAUUUUAAAAUUCCUGUCAAAGUUUCUAAAUAUAUUGAUGAACUAUGCUUUAGUCUUAAGACUUCUCUCAAAAGAAUUUCCGAACUGAAAAAAGAAAACUCAGCUCUAAAACAAAAGGAAAAUGUUUUAGCAGAAAGAGUUAAAAGUCUAGACUUGUCUGUUUCCAUUCUUAAAGAAAAUGAAGAUAAUCUUUUAAAAGAAAAUGCUUUUUUAAAAACAGACUUAUCAAAUAUAUCAAAGAAAUUUUCUAUAGGGUCUGAAAAACUUGAGAAAAUUCUUUCAGCACAAAGACCUUACUUCAAUAAGUCUGGUCUAGGUAUGACAGAAUAAACAAUUCCCUUGAUUGAUUUUCCUAAAGUAAAAGAAAGAAUUAAGAAAAGACUCUCGAGUGAGGUUUACAAAAAUCACUUCAAGAAAGUUUUUGUAAAACCUGUAGGUAGAAAUGCUCUCAGAUGUUCUAAGUGCAACAGUCCGGAUCACUUUGAAAAAGAGUGUCCUAUGGUAUGGAAACCUGUUAAGAAAGUAUGGGCUAAUACUGUUUAUCUUACUAACACCAAAGGACCCAAGAAAAUUUCGGUACCAAAGAAAGCUUGAGACUUUAUUUUAAAUGCAGGUCUCCGUCAAGAAACAGGUAAAGUGGUAUCUUGACAGCGGAUGCUCAAGACACAUGACAGGAGACUCAAAUUGCUUUAUAAAGAUUGCUCAAGUAAAUGGUGGAAAAGUUUCAUUUGGAGGAAACAGCAAAGGAAGUAUUGUGGGAUUUGGAACCGUGAAAAUUGGAACUCUCACAAUAAGUAAUGUUUCCUUAGUGGAAGGACUCAAUUACAAUCUUCUCAGCAUUAGUCAAUUGUGUGAUACUGGUUUCAAGAUCUUCUUUCAAAAAGCAACAUGUUCUGGAAUCAGUAAAGACUCUACUCAGUCUUUCAUGGGUCGAAGACAUGGAAAUAUCUAUCUUCUGGAUGUGAAACCAAAUGAAUCGCAAUGCCUUAUCUCAAUUCAAGACGAAGCAAGCUUAUGGCACAAAAGCUUGGUCAUGUCANNNNNNNNNNNNNNNNNNNNNNNNNNNNNNNNNNNNNNNNNNNNNNNNNNNNNNNNNNNNNNNNNNNNNNNNNNNNNNNNNNNNNNNNNNNNNNNNNNNNAAAGACUGAUUCAUGCACUCCAUGUAUUCUGGGAAAGCAGGUAAGAAAUCUUUUAAGCCAAUUAAUUAUGUCUCUACUAAUCAUGUACUACAGUUGCUGCAUAUGGAUCUCUUCGGACCAACCAGAACUCAAAGUAUUGGGGGUAAGAAGUAUUGCCUAGUAAUUAUCGAUGAUUACUCCCGUUUUACUUGGGUAUAUUUUCUUGCAAGUAAGUCCGAAACCUUUUCGUAUUUUGAAAAAUUUGCUAAAAUGGUUCAAAAUGAAAAAGGAUGUGUUAUCUCUAGUAUAAGAACAGAUCAUGGAGGUGAAUUUGAAAAUCAAGAUUUUACAAAAUUCUGUGAUGAAUCUGGCUGUAAGCAUAUGUUUUCCUCUCCAUAUACUCCUCAGCAAAAUGGAGUUGUGGAAAGAAAGAACAGAUCUCUUCAAGAAAUGGCUAGAACUCUUUUAAUUGAAAGUAAAAUUUCUUCUCGAUUUUGGGCUGAAGCUGUUUCAACAGCAUGCUAUAUCAUCAAUAGAGUCUUCUUAAGAUCUAUUCUUCAGAAAACCCCUUAUGAGUUAUUCAAAGAAAAGAGGCCUAUUGUUUCAUACUUUCAUGUAUUUGGUUGCAAAUGUUUUAUACUGAAAAAUGCAAAAGAUCGAGUUGGUAAGUUUGAAGAAAGAUCAGAUGAAGGUAUCUUCCUUGGAUAUUCUACAUCAAGCAAAGCCUUCAGAGUCUAUAACAAGAAGAGCCAAUCUGUGGAGGAGUCAAUGAAUGUCAAAUUUCAAGACUCAACACAAGAUGAAUCAAGUCAGACUCAUCAAGAAGAGUCUGAACCUGCUCCAGAUCUUCCAAAGCUUACAACUCAAGAAGCAUCUCAGACUCUGGAAAACCAUAAUAAGGAUGUUCGUGAAGAUUCAAUCAAAGAGAGAGAUCAUCAAUCAGACAAAUCAACAAGUAACUGGAAGCAUAAGUCCAGUCAUCCCAAAGAUCUUAUAAUCGGCGAAAUGAAUGAAGGAAUUCGCACCAGAUCCAAAAGGCGAGAAGAGUCUAGUGCUGUGGCACUUGUUUCUGAAAUUCAACCAAAGAGCAUAAAAGAAGCUUUAUCUGAUGAAAGCUGGAUUGAAGCUAUGCAAGAAGAGCUCAGACAGUUCAGCAUAAAUGAUGUCUGGGAAUUGACAUCCAAACCAAAAGGUAAAACUGUUAUUGGAGCUAAAUGGGUUUUCAGAAACAAGAUGAACGAGAAAGGAAAAGUCGUACGAAAUAAAGCAAGACUCGUGGCCAAGGGAUAUACGCAAGAAGAAGGAAUAGACUAUGAUGAGACUUACGCUCCAGUUGCAAGGUUAGAAGCUAUUCGACUAUUACUUGCGUUUGCUUGUUAUAAGAAUUUCAGGUUAUUCCAAAUGGACGUCAAAAGCGCCUUCCUAAAUGGAUUUAUCCAUGAGGAAGUUUAUGUGGAACAACCACCAGGGUUUGAAGACCCAAAGAAGCCAGACUGAAAAAGGCUUUGUAUGGUUUAAAGCAAGCACCUCGGGCUUGGUACGACAUAUUAAGUAAGUUCCUAAUACAAAAUGGUUUUGUCAAAGGUAAAGUAGAUACGACUUUAUUUAUCAAGAAGGAAAACAAAAGUUUCUUACUUGUUCAAAUAUAUGUGGAUGAUAUUAUUUUUGGAUCCUCUAAUGAAAGUCUUUGCAAGAAAUUUUCAAAGUCUAUGCAGGAUGAGUUUGAAAUGAGUAUGAUGGGAGAGUUAACAUUCUUUCUUGGUCUUCAAGUAAAACAAUUGAAGGAAUGAACUUUUAUUUAUCAAGAAAAAUAUGUUAAUGAUCUUGUCAAAAGGUUUGGACUGGAAAAGUGCAAAAAGGUCGACAUACCAAUGUCAAGUUCUUUAAAGAUAGACAAAGAUGAAGAAGGGAAGAAAGUUGAUCAAAAGCUGUACAUGAGCAUUAUUGGAUCACUUCUUUAUCUUACUGCCUCUAGACCUGAUAUUUUGUUGAGUGUUUGCAUCUGUGCUAGGUUUCAAUCACAUCCUAGAGAGUCUCAUCUCAGUGCUGCGAAACGCAUCAUUAAAUACGUGGCUUCAUCAUCAAGCAUCGGUCUUUGGUAUCCUAAGAAGGGAGACUUUAAUCUUCUGGGAUAUUCAGACGCAGAUCUGGCCGGUUGCAGAGUUGAUAGAAAGAGCACUUCAGGAACUUGCCAGUUGCUUGGAAGCAGGACAGUGUCUUGGUUUUCAAGGAAACAAAGCACUGUGUCUCUUUCAACAACAGAAGCAGAGUAUGUAGCUCUUGGAAGCUGCUGUUCGCAAAUUCUAUGGAUAAAACAACAGCUAAGAGACUUUGAAAUUGAAGACUCAUGCACGGAGAUUAAUUGCGACAACACCAGCGCUAUCAACCUCACCAAAAAUCCAAUUCUCCACUCAAGAGCAAAGCAUAUAGAGAUUCGACAUCACUUUAUAAGAGACCAUGUUCAAAAUGGAGAUGUUUCAAUUCAAUUUGUUGACUCAAAGAAUCAACUGGCUGAUAUACUCACAAAGCCUUUGGAGAAAAAUCAAUUUGAGUCUAUACGGUCCAGACUCAACAUUUUGAGGUAUGAGGAUAUCAAAGUCUAAAGACUGUCAGACUCAGGCUAACAAGACUUUAUCUACUGUCUUGGCUCGACUUUCAGACUGUAAGUCUUUCUCUCUCCAAUCUUAUCUUGAAAAGGUACGAUCAUCAGGCUAUGUUUAAAUUGUUGCUAUAUUUAAUUAACGUAAAUAUUGCAUCGAUUCAUUUUCAAAAAGGUAGUUAUUUUUGAAAUGGCUAUUUUUGCGGAAAAAGACAGUUAUUUUGAAAAGGCAUAUUUUUAUUUCCUUUGUGACGGUUCGUUUACUCUUCUUUUUAACCGAUUGUGCACUGUCGAUUUCUCUUCACUUUUCUAUUCACUUUUCUCUCAAAAACCCUAGAAAGCAUCGAUCCUCAAUUCCCGUUUGUCUUCUUCGCUCAAUCUUCAAAAAGUUGUCAUCUUUUCUGGGAAAGUCAAGCAAGGAAUCUUCCAAACACUGAGAAAGAUGUCAUCAUCACGAAAGUCCUCAAGAAUCGCAAGCAGGGGACCACAGAGAAUGAGUGAGGGGCCUACGCACUUCGAUCUUACUAAAGAUGAAGUUACUCCAGAUCAGCAACCAAGCCCACAACAUUCUCAGCAGCGUCAGUCUCCUCUAUCUAGUCCUCAAGGCGUUGUUCAUCAGCAUCAAGAAGAAAUCAUCGAGGAUGCAGACCCCGUAAGAGUUCAAAAGCCCGCUUUUAUUUACAAGCUAUAUCGUGCCUUAAAAGGAACUCGUACUCCUUUGAACUAUGUUGAUGAGUUUCUUAGAGACAAAGGAUAUAGGAACGAAUAUAUCUUUCUGCGAAAAAUGGAAAGUUUGGGAAUCGCUCGUAGAGGGGUGGCUGAGGAAACCCUUGCGAAUAUCCCAAGUGAUCCUCGUGACUGGGGACCGAAUCCUGUAGAUGGGAAUGACGAUGACAAUCUGUUCAGUCUAUUUCAAUCGAAAAUGGGUAUUGCGGCUGAAAUUCAAGGAAAAAGGGGAGAUUUGUUCAGAUCAAAGGAACAAAAGGAUCUGUACUCGAAAUUGCUGAAGCGUGGGGUAAUAAACCCUAGGAGUGUGGACUUUGAUUUUCUGGAUGCUGUGAAAGUGAACUUGAGGGAAAAGUUCAGUUAUCUUCAACUUGAAAAGUUUUGCUCUGACUCAACUGAGGCUUAUGCUGAAUUGACUGCAUAUUUCUAUUCAAAUCUUAGCUUUUUGGAUGCGAAUAGAUUCUCCUUCAGCGUUAAAGAUCAAGACUAUGUUGUGGAUAUGGACAUGCUGGCAGAUGUGUUAGAAGUUGAGAGAGGCAGAUAUCAACCAAUCAAAGUUUCCAUUGCUCGGGCCACACUUGAACUGGUGAAGGACAGGAGAACAGAUGAGAAGAUCACCUACUCACGGAUGAAUGCAUUCAACAUCUUGCUUCACAAGAUUGUGAUCAAUUGCCUUCGGCCGAAAUCAACUUCCAAAACUGAUGUUUCAAGCUCUGAGGCAAAGUUGAUGUAUGCCAUCCUCUGUGGUAAGAAGUUUUCUCUCCCUCAUACUGUUAUGUUUCACAUGUAUAGAGCAGUGAUGAAGGACAGAGGUCAACUCCCUUACCCAAGCCUUGUUACGAAGUUAUUCAGACAUCUGAAUAUUCAGCCUCCGCAAAUCUUUUGUGUUCGAUCAUGCGAUCAUAUGGUGGUAGGACUGAAAAUGGUGACCAAAAUGCAUCUGAAGGAACUGAGCAAGGAAUUGGAGAAAUUCAAGGAGAAGACUCCUACCAAAUCUCAUCAAUUCUUUUCUGCUGCUAAGAGAAAAGGGAAGGAGCCCAUGGCUGCUUCAUCAAAGAGAAGAAGAGCUCUCCUCGUUGAGGAUGAAGAUGAUGACGAAGACAUCACCAUCUCUGCAAUGGCUUUGAAGAAUUUAGGUCGUCCUGUUCCACAUAAAGAAUCGGAACAAAAGACGAAAGAAGCAGAGGAGAAGGAAGAAGAAGAAAGAGAAGCAGAGGAGAAGGAAGAAGAAGAAAGAGAAGCAGAGCAAGAAGCAGAGAAAGAAAGACCUGAAGAAGAAAGAAGAGAAGAAGGAGAACCUGAGGAAAUCUCUUCUCCACCUGUAGGCAUGGAAACAGGGGGAGCUCAGGAGAAAGGAGUGACGUCUUCAUAUCCUGAUGCAAGUGAAGGAGUCAGUCGCUCGCCUGCAGACCCAGAAGAUGUUUAUUCAUCUCAGUUUCCAGAAGAAGAUCAUGAAGUGUCAUCGCCAAAUCUGCAAGCUUAUGCUGAUCUACCAUCUUCUGCAGAUCGAGCCGAAGCAAGUACUCAGACUGAUAAUGGAGCAGAUUUUCGCAGAAUCAUGGAUAUUCUCUUGGAGAUGAAAGAAUCAGGCCAAUGCCAAGAGUGAGGAGGUUGUACAGCUGAAGGAAGACUUUAAAAGGCUGGAAGGCAUCGUUCAGUCUAUGGAAGAUUUCCAGCUUGUCCGCAUUCCCAAGACUUCAUCUCAUCCUUUUUAAUGAUGACAAAAAGGGGGAGAGAUGCAUGAUUUCAUCAAAAACUUUCAAUCAUUUUUUAACUGUUUGUUGGAUUGUGUUGUUGUUUAACUGUUUUUGACAGACUUUGACUUUGUUUUGUGUCUGGAUGAGAUCUGAACUAGACUUGGACUUGACUGCUUCUAUUAACAAGUAUUGAUAUCUUAUGGAUGGGUUUAUUAUAUACUAGACUAACCUAUUUUCUGUGGUUGCAGAUUCUAGUGUUAAUCUUUUAGCCAUUCAUCUCUAUAAGAUAUGCAUAUGUGUUUGAGAAAUGUUUUGCAGGUCAAAGUUAUCCAAAUCUACAGGAAGGUUUUGUCACCAUCAAAAAGGGGGAGAUUGUUGGAGAAAUCUUCGUGAAGAGUUUUGAAGUUGACAAAACGUUUCCAUCAGUCUAGUCUGAAGGUCUGCAGACUCUGUUAGUUAAAGUCUGAAGACUUCCGGACAGCCAGACUCAAGACUCAAAGUCUAUCCUCAUUGACAGUCUCUAAUCCGUUGAAGAAAGGUUAUCCAGAACUGGAUGUUUUGUUCAGGAUUUAACCUUAUCAUCUGGAGAAGAUCUCGUGGUUGGAGAAGACGUAUAAGAAUCCUUUGAUUGAUCAAGAUUGAUUCAAUGACUGAAGAUUCGAUGAUUGUCUAAAUAUUAUUGGAAGGUUCUACUUAUGGAAACCGAGAUCCUAAUUGUAUGGGCGAACAGGAUUGAUGGGCUAUCAACACGUUCCUUUAAUAGCUCGAACAAUCUUCCUAAUUGAUUCCGUCCAACGGGUAGAUUGGAGGAAUUCCUUUGGUAAGUGCCAAAGGGUAUGAUGGCAUAAAGGAGUAUAUAAGGAAGACGUUCUUAGUUGUUCGAGGUGUGCGCGAUAGAAGAAUUCCAAAGUCUGAAGCUCCUAUUUGUUUAGAUAAAUCCUUUGAGCGAAUACUUGUAUACAAAAGAGAGUCUAUAUUUGUGAGAGACCUUGAGGAGGUGUGGUAAAACAUCUACACUGUGGAAUCAAGGCAAAGCUGUGCUGUAACUUCUCUUUUGAUCAUAGUGAAAUCCAGCCGAUGGGCUGUCAGUGCGGAAGAGUGGACGUAGGCUUGGAAUAAGCCGAACCACUAUAAAUCCUGUGUUCAAUUUUCUCUUCUUCACUCUCUCUACCUCAAUCGUAUUUCAUUUUGUUAAUUAAGAGAGAAUUUACUUUCUAUCAUAUGUUAAGAAUCACUUCCGUAUAUCGAUAAAUUGUUUAGGCACCUAUUCACCCCCCUCUAGGUACUCAUACUAGCAAUAUCAGGAAGCAUUAUCCUGUUGUCCCAUUUCUACCGUUGGCAGAAGACCCACAUUCCUAGUUGUGACAAUAAUUCUAUGAUUGACUAAUAAUACAUUUUCCUGAAGAAAGAAUGAGCGAUGGUCAUGUUACUUUCUCCGAAUAGAUUAUGUCUAGGACACGCUUGUUGCGAAAUCUUUCUUGUAUCAUGUUGACUCCGUCGUCAACGUUAUGGACAACUGGGGACCUCUUCAGGAUAUCAGAUAACAGCUGGUUCUGUAACCUUACAAUGCCAUGUCUUAGUGAAGUUUCUCGGAUGUCUGAAAGGAAGCUGCAACCAUCAAAUAGAGGAGCCAUCAUGUUGAAAACCGCCUUGGCAAGAGUUGUCUUGCCAAUUCCUCCCAUCCCGUGCACAAUAAGAAAUCGUACGUCCAAGGAGCCAUAGUCCAACAACUGCAUCAUGUCUCUGACUCGAUCAUCAAUUCCAACUAAAUAAUCAGGAAGAACCUUCUGUCUCUUCUUCAGCUUAAUAGAAAGCUCUCGAACAAGAUCGUUAGCAAGCUUACCCAGCCUGCCAUGUAUAAUAAAUCAUCAUCUUAGAAGAAAAGAUUGAUAUUACGAAAAAAUUUGUACACCCGAAACAAAUUUACUCCAAACUAUUUGAGUUAUUAAAAACCUCAAAUUCGUACAUUUAUGAUAAAUUUAUCCUAAACUGAUAUAAAUUUCAACGUUGACUUGUCAUAUGUGUCAUAGCUCAGCAAUUUCAUGGGAAAAUUUGAGGGAAGUUAACAAAGAGUAAACAUGUCCCGAUAUAUCAAAUUAGGAUUUUUGGUGAUUCUAAAAUUAAUUUAGGAUAAAAUUUAUCGCACAUGAACUAGUUUGUCAUUUUUGGUGAACUAAAAAUUAGUUUAAGAUAAAUUUGUUCUAACUAUAUCAAAUUAACAAUUCGGGAUUUUUUUUUCUACGAUAUUAACCUUAAAAAAAAGGAGCAACUGUAUCUAGGAAUCCUCGAGAACAUGCUUUCAAUACUUCUUUGGCUGCAAACGCUCCUCAACAGCAUAUCUCUCUCCCUCUCCCUCUCCCUCUCCCCUCCCCUCCUCCUCCCCUCGCCUCUCCCUCCCUCCCUCCCCCCCUCCCCCAAAAAUAGCACAAAGCAGCAACAUAGGCUGAGACUUGCUCGAAGUUCAUUUCUGACUUAGCACGUUCGUCCAAAACACCAAAGAAGCUUUAAACCGUCUUUUUACCAAACCCCAUUCGAUAUCAUUACCAUCGACCAUGCUAUAAAACCUUAAAUUGCCAAUAAAAAAUACCCCUCUAAGCAUUGUAUACAUAUGGAGAGAGAGAGACUAAAUGAAUAAGGGUGUAAUGGCCACUAAAGUUUCUUCCUACUUACCCUGCAUUUCGUGCGUCCCAUCCUUUGAGAUCUGCGACCUCCCUUAGAGCCUCCCUCCACUCUUGCACCCUCUCCUCGCCGUGAUGCCCCUCGUGCCAAAGCAGGUGUUCGCCGUACGAACCCCUCCUUUGCCUGACGUCCGAAGGACUCACGCCGUAGAAUACGGGCACAAUUUCGUGUCCCGCGGAUUCUCUCCGGCACUUCACCAUGCGCGCGAGCUCCUGGAGGCACCAUGCGCUGGAUGCGUAGCCUUCAGAGAAGAUCGACACGUGGAUCCUUGAGUCGUCGAUCGCGCGCUCAAGCUCCGGUCCAAUAAUCUCGCCUACGGGAAGCUCUUCGUUUUCUCUGAAGACACUAAAUCCGGCGUCGACUAAGCUUUCAUAUAGGACAUCCGCAACCGUGCGGCGAGUGUCGGGCCCUCGGAAGCUCAAGAACACAUCGUACUUGUAGCCCGGCAUUGGCACGACGUGCGCGGAAAUCUUGGCGAUUCGCGUCUCUGCUCCCCUUCGGUUAGACGACAUUGUGAACGAGGAAGAAGAAGAGCAGACGAAACAGGAGAGGAAGGAGAAUCACAAAGUUCCUCCUCUUGUGUGGUUCGAGGGAAAAGUGGCUCUUGGCGUGUAUUUAUACGAAAAGCCCGUGGGCGAACGACGCACUUUGGCUGCCAUUACCUCGGAAGUUUCCUUCCAUGCGCAACGUAGCCCGUUCAAGAACAGGGGGACAUGCGACAUUGACCUGUAGGAUUCCAAUCAAUACUCGAGUUGUUGAAAACUUGUUCGAACCGUGUAUUCAAAUUUGUGCUGCCCACAACAAAUAGACCGACUCAUCCGAAAUACCAGAAUCAACUGAUGAUGGAUCGACCCGCCAUUCAAUUUUUGACGUUUGACCAAAAUAAAAGUUCACCGUCCAUGUCCAUGAAAAACAUAUUAUAUAGAUGAAUAUAGGAUAACAAAAUCAAAGGUCAAAAUAUAAAUCUCUUUGACAAUUUCUGCAUAAGGUUUGAAUGAUUCUCAGUAAGUUGAUCCUUUUUACUUACACAAAAAUAUAAAUCUAUAAUUUCCUCCAUCAAUUAAAUUUCGAGAAAUUGCUUUAUAACACGCAAACUGCACGCCCUUUUGCUUGUAUUCCUUACAACACAAAGCAUUAAAAGAAAACUAAGAAUUUCUAUCACCAAUAGGAAAUUUUUAUGCUGUGAUAGCUGCUACUCUUCUAGGGACUCAAUCUCUUUUUUUUUUUUUUUUAAAUCUUCGUUCCUCAUGUGUAUUUGAAUUAACAAGUAAUGCUUUCUUUCGAACACUUCGUUCAAUUGCUUUCUUGAUCACCUUCGGAUCCACGUCUCCCCUUGCCUCCACCAAUUGCUAAUCCAUGUUCAUGUCCACGUACUCCACUCCUGCUCAUUCAAUUAAAUUUCUUCACUAAUAUUUAAGAAAAACACACCAAAACGAAAGCAAUUAUGAAGUAAUUACUCAUUUAUUGAGAGCUAUAUAACUAAAUUAAGGCUCAACUUUAAAGAAUUAACCCUGUAAGUGAAGCAAUAUAUAUGUAUAUAUACAUAUAUUAUACAUGAAAGUGUUGUACUGAUUAUAUUUAUCGGUUCUACUACACAGUGGAGGGAAAAGCUUUGAAUAUUUGAACGACACAUCUCGUGGGUUUGGUUCAAAUACGAUAUGAACAUGAGCAAAAUACAUUACCUUCUGUCUUCCAAAUCUUUUGCCGGCAUCCACAACAGCAAUUGAUACUCACGUGCAAAACGAGAGACCGCAUCAAAUAUGUUCGAUUACAGUAAGAUGAUUUUAGUCAUGUAAAGUUUACAUUAAAAGCAGAGAUUGAAAGUAUUACGGUAGACAUCGGAACUUGGUGCAGUGCCUUGUAGACCUGAGAAGGUGAAGCUCGAGGGCAGAUGGCUCACUCAAGUAUAUUUCCAUUACAAAUAAUAAGUCUCGACAAGAAAGGGAAAUAAUUGUUAAAUUUGUUGGAGAAAUCUUCUUGAAGUGUUUUGAAGUUGACAAAUCGUUUCUAUCAGUCUAGUCUGAAGGCUUGCAGACUCUGCUAUUUAAAGUCUGAAGACCUUGGGACAGCCAGACUCAAGACUCAAAGUCUAUCCUCAUUGACAGUCACUAAUCCGUUGAAUAAAGGUUAUCCAGAACUGGAUGUUUCGUUGAGGAUUUAACCUUAUCAACUGGAGAAGAUCUCAUGGCUGGAGAAGACAUAAACGAAGUCCUUUGAUUGAUCAAAGAUUGAUUCGAUAAUUGAAGAUCCGGUGAUUGCCUAAAUAUUAUUGGAAGGUUCUGCUUAUGGAAACCGAGAUCCUGAUUGUAUGGGCGAACAUGAUUGAUGGGCUAUCAACACGUUCCUUUAAUAGCUUGAACAAUCUUCCUAAUUGAUUCCGUCCAACGGGUAGAUUGGAGGAAUUCCUUUGGUAAGUGCCAACGGGUAUGAUGGCAUAAAGGAGUAUAUAAGGAAGACUGUCUUAGUUGUUCAAGGUGUGCGCGAUAGAAGAAUUCCAAAGUCUGAAGCUCCUUUUUGUUUAGACAAAUCCUUUGAGCGAAUACUUGUAUAUGAAAGAGAGAGUCUAUAUUUGUGAGAAAUCUUGAGGAGGUGUGGUAGAACAUCUACACUGUGGAAUCAAGGCAAAGCUGUGCUGUAACCUCUCUCUUGUUCAUAGUGGAAUCCAGCCAAUAGGCUGUCAGUGAAGAAGAGUGGACGUAGGCUUGAUAUAAGCCGAACCACUAUAAACCGCGUGUUAAAUUUUCUCUUCUCUCAGUCUUACUUUGAUUAUCGUUUCCUCCAACUGUCUAGUAUUGUGCAAUUGCUUGAGAAAAAUUCUUUAUAUACCUAUUCACCCCCCUCUAGGUACUUAUACUAGCAAUAUCAAAAUUAUGUCUCAAGUUUGAAUCCAUUAUAUGAUACCCAAUACGUGCAAAACACUUACAUGCUGAAAUGAGGAAGAACGUCCGCAAAGCAUUUAAUUAAAAUUAAGGAGUGCGUGAUAGGAGCCGGAAAAAAAAAUAUCCAGCCCUUGGCGUUGGAAAUGAAGGCCACAAAUCCGUGUGUUGACUUUUGUGGCCCUUCUCACUUUUUCAGCACGAAAUUAUCCUCUGAAGAGUUCAUCCUCUAUUUUUUCUACGUCAUUAAAUGCAUGCAUAUGGCCAUGUGCAUGCAUGCUCGUAGAAAACAAGUUGGUCAGCAUUUGUGGCCUCAGAAGCCUAUCACGCAGGAGAAAAUCUCGGCAGGCGCCGAAGUCUAUCCCUCUCUUUGGUCAUCUUUUGUGGACUUCUUUCGUCUUGUUGCGGAUAAAGAAGGAGAGUAGAAGCUCUUCUACGUGUGUCAGUACAUGCUGCUCAGCUCACACGCUAACAUUAAAUGCAUGGAGGCACAUGUUUUGAAGAUCGGCACCGUUCUGACAAUUGUGGAGUACAAGUUUUUCUUCCCCUUCCACCGAUAAAAGAAAAAAGACGUCUGGAGCUCGUUGGCUACGCAAGAAAGAGCCAAAGAAAACGAGCUCGAGAGACAGAGAGCGAAAAGAAAAGAGCUCAGCAGAGAGCUAGAGAAACAAGCUCGAGAGAGAGAGAGCGAGAGACGUGAGCUCCGAGAGGUUUGUGCGGAAGUCGAGUCCAUUGAGUGAGUUGAGUUGUUAAACACCGUGGGUAUCGGGUAUAAAGUAGGGCUGGGAAACACUUGAGUACUGUUAAAUUGCUAAAGGGAGGAGAGAUGAGACUUAAACUUUUUCUUACGUACAAAGCAACUCCAAGUCUUUUACAAAAGACAAAAUACAUAACGUAAAACACACCAUAACUACCCAUGUUCUCCAUAAAGCACUUGCCCCACUAACACCUAAAAACUAGGAUAACCAACACACAUGACUCCACUAACUCUAGUAACUGAAAAACUAAAUCAACAACAUGUGAAAAAGGAAAUAACUGUUAUAUUAACAAUCCCUCCCUUAAACUGAUGUUUGCUAACAUUCAGUUUAAAGCCUUAACUUUUUUUUCACCGUGCAAACACCUAGUAACCUUCUAAGCUUCACAAAUGACUCCAUCUUGAGGGCCUUGGUGAAUAUAUCAGCAACUUGAUCUUCACUCAUGCAGUAGAUUAGAUCAAUUGUUCCAUCAUUGCUAAGAUCUCUCAAGAAAUAAAACUUCACAUCAAUGUGCUUGCUUCUUCCAUGUAACACUGGAUUCUUGGAGAGUUUUAUUGCUGAGUUAUUGUCACAAAAAAUUUUAGUAGGUCCCGGUUGCUUGAAUUGUAGCUCCUCAAGAAUUCUCCUUAGCCAAAUAGCUUGACAAGCACUAGCUGUUGCAGCAACAAAUUCAGCUUCUGUACUUGACAAUGUGACAAUUGGUUGCUUCUUGGAUGACCACGAAAUAGCACCUGUUCCAAACAUAAAAGCAUAACCCGAAGUGCUCCUCCUAUCAUCUUGAUCUCCUGCAUAGUCACUAUCAGUAAAUCCCAACAAAUCAGACUUUUCACCCUUCUUGUAAAAUAGCCCAAAGUCUCUAGUUCUUUGCAAGUAACGAAGAAUUCUCUUGGCAGCUAACAAAUGCAUUUGUGUAGGAUUCUCCAUAUAUCUACUGAUUAAACUCACAGAAUACAUUAUGUCUGGUCUUGUUGCAGUUAAAUACAUCAAACUGCCCACAAUUUGUUUAUAAAGUGUGCUGUCAACCUUCCUCCCUUCAUGAUCUUUGUAUAACUUUAAGCCAAACUCAACUGGAGUGUUUACAGGAUUACAAUCCUUCAUCUGAAACCUGUCCAAAAUUUCUCCCACAUAUUUCUUUUGAGAAAUAAAGAUCCCAUCAUCCGAUUGUACCACUUCUAUGCCAAGGAAGUAAUGCAUCAUACCAAGAUCAGACAUUUCAAACUCAUCCAUCAUAGAUUUCUUGAAUUCUUCAAACAUGCCAUCACAACUUCCAGUAAAUAUAAGAUCGUCAACAUACAAGCAGACAUAAGCAUUUUCCCUUUAUCUCCAAUCUUGACAAAAAGUGUAUGCUCAUAAGGACAUUUUGAAAAACCAACUUUAAGAAAAUAAAUUUCAAUGCGACUAUACCAAGCCCGAGGGGCUUGUUUUAGCCCAUAAAGAGCUUUCUUCAAUCUAUAAACUUUAUGCUCAUUUCCAAUCUUGACAUAACCAGGGGGUUGCUCGACAAAUACCUGUUCCUCCAAGUACCCAUGCAAGAAUGCCGAUUUGACAUCUAGCUGGAAAAUAGGCCAAGAAUUCUGUGCCGCCAAUGCAACCACCAAUCUGAUCGUGUCAUAUCUCGCAACUGGAGAAAAAACCUCCGUAUAGUCGAUCCCAUAUUGCUGCUUGUAUCCCUUGACUACCAAACGUGCUUUGUAUUUGUCAACUUCACCAUUUUCUUUCAGUUUUGUUUUAAAGACCCACUUCACACCAAUGGUUUUUUGUCCAUCCGGAAGAUCGGAUAACUCCCAAGUAUCAUUUCUUUCGAUGGCAUUAAUUUCAUCAUCCAUCGCUUUUCGCCAUUUUUCUUCUUUGACAUCACUCUCAAAAGUUGUAGGGUCAUAGUCUGAAAAUAAGGCAAAGUGAGUAAUUGAAUCUCUAAUUCCAGUUACCUCAUAAUCUUCCAUCCAAGCAGGCUUUCUUCUAACGCGGCGAAGAGAUUGGGCUUCUUCUUCAUUGACUUCAGUGCCUGUUGGUGAAAUUUCAGCAACUGUAGAAGUUGUAUUUGAUGAAUUUUGGGGCAUAGAAGGUGCUGAAAUUUGCUCUUGUUCAGCAUCAUUGUCAUAAAAAAACUUGGGUAGGCUGCUGCCUAUUCCAAUCCCAAAUGUUCUCUUCAUCGAAAACAACAUCCCUGCUAGUCACAAUCUUCUUUGUUAGUGGAUUGAAUAAUUUAUAUGUUUUGGAUGCUUCACUUACACCAAGAAAGACACAUUUUUCAGCCUUGUCAUCAAGUUUCUUCCUUUUCACAUCCGAGACAUGGGCAUAUGCGAUGCAUCCAAAAAUUCUGAAGUGAUCUACAGCCGGUCUUCUCCCACUCCAAGCCUCUUCAGGUGUCAUAUUCUGAACAGCAAAAGUUGGACUUCUGUUCAAAACAUGAAUACUCCAAUUUACUGCUUCUGGCCAGAAAGUCUUUGGAACUCUUCCUCUUGCCAAUAAACUUCUCACCAUGUUGAGAAUUGUUCUAUUUUUCCUCUCAGAUACACCAUUCUGCUGUGGUGUAUAUGCAGCAGUAAGCUCUUUUCGAAUGCCAUACUCUGCACAAAAAACUUCAAAUUCUUUUGAGCAAUAUUCACCACCACGAUCUGUUCGAAGAGUCUUAAUAGUCUUUCUUGCUUCAUUUUCAACACGAGUUUUGAAGCUUUUAAAUGUGGAGAAAGCUUCUGAUUUUUCCUGUAAAAAAUAAACCCAAGUUUUUCUAGAAAAAUCAUCAAUUAAGGUAAUUAAGUAUCUUUUACCUCCAUUAGAAGAUGGAUUUAUGGGACCGCAAAUGUCCGAAUGCACCAGCUGCAAAACAUCCUUUGCUCUCCAUGACUUUUCUUUUGAAAAUUGAGAACGAUGCUGUUUGCUAACAACACAUUCUUCACAGACUUGGGAAUGAACAGUAAUUUGAGGAAGACCCGUCACCAUGUUUUUCUGUUUGAGGGUCUUCAAUCCACCAAAACUCAAGUGACCAUAGCGAAAGUGCCAAAGCCAUGACGGAUCUUUCUUUUCAGCCAUCAAACAAGACUUAAUAUUUUCAAUCUUUAAUGGAAACAAUCUAUUUGAAUUCAUAGGAACAACUGCAAUAGCACCUCUAACGGAAUCAUAAAUUUCACAGACACCUCUCUGAAUGGUGAUUACAUAACCAUUUUCUUGUAAUUGGCCAGCACUCAACAGAUUACUUUUCAAGUCAGGAACAUACAACACAUUAGAGAUCGUUUCCACAAAACCAUUCUUGGUUCUUAUCUUAAUAUCUCAUUUUCCCAUCACUUUCACAGUAGAAUGAUCCCCAAAACUCACAGUGGAAUGAAAAUCUUCAUUUAGAUGAGAAAAAGAAGACUUACUUCCACUCAUGUGGUUACUGCAGCCUGUAUCCACAUACCAAAUAUCUGACUCGCGCUCAUUUUCAUCUUGAACAGCCAUCAACAACGUUUCUGCUUCCUUUUCUUCAACAAAGUUUGAACUCUCUGCCUUUUCUUUAUUAUUAGGCAGCCUAGUAUAACAUUCAGAUGCAUAAUGACCAAAUUUAUGACAUCUAAAACACUCUACCUUGGCUUUGUAAGGAUCCCGUCCUCUGCCUUUGCCUUGAAAUUGGUCAUUAUUGGCUUUGAAAUUCCUGCCAACAUCUCUAUUUCCUCGAUCUCCCCUUCCUCUACCUCUACCUCUACCCCUUCCUCUGAAAUUGUUGGAAUGAGUAUUGGUAGAAGCCUUCAAUGCUUGCUCCUCUACUGUUGAACUUCUGUUCAUCUUCUGUUCAUGGACCAAUAAGGAGCUUUGCAAUUCAUCAAGAGAGAGCGCAUCUAUGUCUUUCGACUCUUCAAUUGAGCAGACAACAUAAUUAAACUUUGAUGUCAAGGAACGCAAAAUCUUCUCCACAAUGGUGACGUCGUCCAUCUUCUCGCCAUGGAAUCGCAUCUUGUUGCUGAUCUCCAUUGUUCUAGCACAAUAACUAGUAACAGAUUCUCCAUCUUUCAUCGCUAAUGUUUCAAAAUCUUUUCUCAAGGCUUGAAGCUGUGCACGCUUCACUCUAACAGAGCCUUGAUAUUUCUUCUUCAUAGAAUCCCAUAUAUCCUUGGAAGUUUCUUUGCAAAGAAUAGUCUCCAAGAUGGAACGAUCGAUAGCCUGAAAAAAAUAAUUUUUUGCCUUUAGGUCCUUCAACUUUCGAGCUUCCAAUUCUGCUUUCUGGGGAUCUGUCAAAGCCAUGCCUGCUGGUGGCUUUUGAAUUCCAGAUUCGACAACCGACCAAUACUCCUUUGAUCGUAAAAAAUUCUCCAUUAACAUACUCCAAUGGUCAUAGUGACCAUCAAAGCGUGGAAUUGCUGGUUGAACAACAAAUGUCGUGCAUUGAAAUAUUGCUGCUGCAAUUUUCUCACGAAAGUUCUUUUUUUUUUUNNNNNNNNNNNNNNNNNNNNNNNNNNNNNNNNNNNNNNNNNNNNNNNNNNNNNNNNNNNNNNNNNNNNNNNNNNNNNNNNNNNNNNNNNNNNNNNNNNNNGUACAAAGCAACUCCAAGUCUUUUACAAAAGACAAAAUACAUAACGUAAAACACACCAUAACUACCCAUGUUCUCCAUAAAGCACUUGCCCCACUAACACCUAAAAACUAGGAUAACCAACACACAUGACUCCACUAACUCUAGUAACUGAAAAACUAAAUCAACAACAUGUGAAAAAGGAAAUAACUGUUAUAUUAACAAGUACAUUGGUGUGAUUGUAAUCCUGUAAUUCUCCGAUUUAUAGUGAAUUGAUUUGCUGACUCUCCCCGUGGACGUAGGUUCCGACAUUCGGACCGAACCACGUUAAUUUUUUUUUCUUUUAUUGUUCCCUAUAGCUCCCGACAUAAUUGCAAAAUAUACGAUCCGCUUCCGCUGAGACACCGAUUUACAACAAUAAUGCAAACAUAAAAGUUCCUCAUUGAUUCCUUGAUUUAUCCUGGAAAAACCCAAUUCAAUUGAAAUUGCCGUAGAAUGAUUGGUUUUUUCACGGGAACUUUAAAAGGAUUUCAUCAAUCCGACGGGUCAACAAGUCUGGAAUUGAAUUUCUAUUUUUGUGCUGAAGGAAGGAUUCCAUGUAACAAUGCCUUAGAUUUUCCUAGACUUACCUUUACCCUGUACACAGCACUACUUCCACCUCUUGUACGACCUAAUCCACCUAAUUUUCACUAAAAAUACAAAAUUACCCUCUGUCAUUUAAUUACAAUAUAAUUGGUAGUCCCAAAUUUAAUUUACUUUCCUUUUUUAAUUUUUUCUAUAUCUAUGUAGGAUCUCCCUACCAUAAUUAUGAAUUUUAUAUGUUUAAUUUUCGUUGAUUGUAGAUUUUCCAUGUAUGUUAAAGACACUAUUUCUUUUUCUUUUUCUUUUUUAUUAUUAGAUAUUACUUCCAUGGAAAUUUAUUUUGUCGAAAAGAGAAAUUUCCAAGACAUCAUUGAUUAAAUUUAUGAAUAAUUUUGGAGUAAAUGAAAUUUAAUUAAAUCAAAACAUUGCAUAAAGUAAGAAACUUUUUUUUGUGAAAAUGCUUUUGGAUUGACAAAAAAUAAUAUCAUCGACAAACUAUUUAUGGAAAAUAUUAAGAUUACUCAUUGUGCAUAAUGUUUUUAGUGUAUUCUUAGAUAUUUCUCUAACUUCUCAUGUGCUCUGUAUAAAAAUAUUUCACCAUUAUAGAAAGGAAAAAUAUAAAUUCUUUGGUAGAGUAAAUAAAGAGAGUUGAUAUAUAUUUUAGUCUAAUAAUUAAUUAAAUAUUCACCAAGAAAGUGAGCUUUUGAUAUAAGAGUAAUAAAAAAUAUAGCUAGGUUGUUAUAAGAUCAAUAAUGAAAAAGAGAUUUUCAGUUUUAUACUAUAUCAAAGAAUUUUUUUUUUCUUUACUGCUAGCAAGAUAAUUUUAUACAAAGCAUGUAAAAAGUUAUGAGAAUAUCUACACUAAAAAAUAAAACAUGUAAAAUUAUUAAUUAUAGCAACUAUUCUAAAUAGAAAAAAAAAAAAAAAGGGGAGUUGGGCCAUUAUAUAGUACGGCAAUUGAAAGAUUGAGGGCAAUUUUAUCUUUUCAGUAUAAAUGGGAGUGAAUUAGUUAUUUAGGGAUGGAAAUUGCACCACCCGCACGUUCUUACUAGCCAAAGUUAUUUCCCUUCUUCUUUUCUAUUAUUGCAUGAGUUACUUUUGCUUUCCUUUUGAUUUUUUUCAUAUGUUUUGGCGCUACUCUUGAUGGGGAAAAUGCCAUAAAAAUCUUAAGUUAUAUUUAACGUAACACCAUUUCGCCAAUUUCUUUCUGGUAAGAUCAUCAUGACUCAAAUUUGUACUAGUAUGACAGACAAAAACUUGUAUCCAUUAAAAGAUCAGCAAUUUUAUUACAUGAAAUCAUGCAUGCACGAUGAGAACAUGUACAUAUGCCAAAUCCGUCGUGGGAUGUAAUCAUAAACGGCUGAUAUUGAUUGCGCCGACUCUCAUUCCUUUCGCCUUCCUUCCCCAUUAGUAUCACUGAACAAGUACUGCUUUUUUUCUGAAGAUGUUCAUGAUUCGCUCUCUUGAUUACCUCCGGAUCCACCUUUCCUUUGACCUCCACCAACUGCUCGUAUAUCUUCAUGCCCACAAGCUCAAAUCCUGCUCAUUCAAAGAAAGCUUCUUCAUCGUUGCAAUCCACGAGCAUCAAGAUAACGCACCCAAAAUGAAAGGGAAAUAUCAAGUAAUUAACCGGUUAGAUGCGCUACCGGUUCGGUUCAUAUACGAUAUACAUAUAGUAAAGUAUGAUUACCUUCCAUUUUGUCUAUGAUCUUCGUGAGCUUUCGCCAACAUCCGUUCGCAGCAACUGAUACUCACACGGAAAACGAGCUACAUACAUCGACAUCUACAGUAAGAUGGUUUUGUUCAUAUAAAGUUCACAUUAGAAGUGGCGUGGCAAAUGAAAGUAUCAUCACCGAAGAAAUUCGAAUUGCGUACAGAGCCUUGUGAAAAUCUUGGGUACGGAAUCGAAUCUUAAGGAGAGAUUGGCUUUGAAGAGGGACUAUUGCUCUCUCUCUCUCUCUACAUAUAUGGAAAAUAUACAUUUAGUAAUUGGAAAUGAGUCUUGAGAAGGAAAGGAAAUCCUGCCGAUUUAUUCAAAGCAUUUCAUUUUCGAUUGGAAUUAGGGUGGAAUGUUUGGUCUUGCAUGGUAACUUUAAGUGAAGAAUCUGGGACUUCCAUUUUUGUUCUCAAGGAUCUGCAUGCGUUGCCUAAUUUGCCUAUUCUUGGCUCUACUCCGCACGGACCGAAUUCGGACGUGUGUAUAUUCGAGUUUCGACAAUUACCUUAUUUUGAGACAUGGUCUCACCGAAAAAAAUUAGGGAAUAAUCUUUGUAAUAAAUCAACGAAAAUCGUUUUCGAUUAAAUGGUUCCUCCGAUAAUGGCAAGUUAUUUUCCACUUCUUCUUUUUUUUUAACUUUUUCAUUUUGUUGCCCAAGUUGCAUGUUCUUUCCUUUUUUGUGCUUGAGCUAAUAUUAUUCUUGAUAGGAAAUAUCAUUAAAAAAAAAAACCCUAAAUUAUGCUGAUUGUAACAUAAAAAUACAUUUUUAGUCGCUAAAAUCCUAAACUCGUAUCAAUGCGACAACAUUAUUUGUCCACCAUAAAAAAAUCCAAAACUUUGUAACUUUCUUUUUUUUUUUUUUUUGGUAAAGAAAAAAAAAACUUUGUAACCUUCUCUUUUUGUUCCACCAAGACCCUAAAACUUAAAUACUCUAGUUUGUAGCAUUGGCACCGCUACAUAUUUGGAGGUUUUGAUGACACAAAAGAAUUUAGGAUAUUGUUGUUACGAUGGGUAUGAUUUAAGAUAUUCUACAACAUAGUAAAAAGUGAAAAUUUUAAAUAAGGGUCCCACAUUUUCUCAAACAAUGGCCGAAAGUAAAUAUUAUUUCAAAUAAAAGCCUGAAGUAAUAAUGUUAGUAUUAAAUAAUGAUUUGAAGUGGUUAUGGUAGUUUCAAAUAAAGGCUUGACCUUGUUAGCCAGCUAAAUAUUCUAGCUGGUCAAGGGUGUUUUCAUCCAAAUACAAUUUUAAUUUUAAAUUAUUUUUAUUCUUUGCUUUUUAUUUUUUCUCUUUCCUUCUUCUUCUUCUUUUUCCGAUGAGGGACUGCAAGCCCUCACCGAUGGCCGUUAGGGUGGCCUCGCCCAAGCGAGGGUCGCCGUGAAGUCUAUCUAUUUUAUUUAGUUAUUUAGUUAAAACUUAAACCAAUGAUCCCAAAUGAGGCCAUCCCUCGCCUGUGGCCAAUGAGGGCAACCAACGCCAAAUCUGGGGAGGGUGUCGGCUACCGACGAAGGAAAAAAAAAACUAGAAAAAGAAGAAAAGAAAGAAAAAAGGAAAAAAAUCAAAGAAAAGUAAAGGAUAGAAAUACUCUUGGCCAGCCGGAAAGUUAGGCCCUUAUUUUAAAUAGACAUAGUUACUUCAUGCCCUUAUUUCAAACAAGAUCUACUUCAUAUCCUUAUUUAAUAAAAUAAUGGAACUUUAAGCCUUUAUUUAAAACAAAGUUCAUUUCGUGCCCUAAUUUUUUUAUUUAAAAAAAAUGAAGGCACUUUAGGCCUUCCUUUGAAAUUUUCCCUAAUAAAAAAUUUAGGCUAUUGAUAUUAUAGGGAGCAAUGAGUUUGGUUUUUAAAUAGUAUUAAUCCUCGAUAAAAUGGCAUAGACAAAUGAAUUGUCACAUAAUUUAAGAAGGAUCUCCUAAUAAAUUAUUAAUAGAAGUAGCAUUACUUACAACAUUAGGUCCAUUUUGCAAUCUCCAUUCGACUUACGGUAAUUAAACUACAUUCCACCCGACAUCGCAGGUUAAAUAGUCAGUGGUUAGUGAAUAUUUUAAUUUACGGUUUGGGCAAUAGAUGAAAUCCUCGUGGGAACUAUUAUCAGAGAAAUAAGAACAUUUUUAUCUAUUUCAGUCAUUUCCCCAGUUUCAUAAACUCUCCAUUCUGCACGUGUCACUUGUUUGUUUGCCCGGCAAAUUCGUCGUGCACGUUGUCAGCCGUCAAAUUUCUCGCCAUUUAAAGCCCACGACCCUCUAGAACGACCCUGUUCUUGAUAUCUCUGUCAGCAAGAACGGGAGCAACAGAGUGUUCCCAUUUCCACCUCUCCAUUGAAGAAGCAGAAGAAGAAGAAGAAGGUCAUGUCAGAGACUCAGUGCUGUGAGAACCCUCCGACGCCGAGCACCAUGAGCGUCGGAAUCGGAUGUGUGGCAGAGAUCGGAGGCUUGAAAGCCUACAUCACCGGCCCCCCU